AGUGAACGCUGGCGGUAGGCCUAACACAUGCAAGUCGAACGGCAGCACAGUAAGAGCUUGCUCUUACGGGUGGCGAGUGGCGGACGGGUGAGGAAUACAUCGGAAUCUACUUUUUCGUGGGGGAUAACGUAGGGAAACUUACGCUAAUACCGCAUACGACCUACGGGUGAAAGCAGGGGAUCUUCGGACCUUGCGCGAUUGAAUGAGCCGAUGUCGGAUUAGCUAGUUGGCGGGGUAACGGCCCACCAAGGCGACGAUCCGUAGCUGGUCUGAGAGGAUGAUGAGCCACAAUUGAACUGAGACACGGUCCAGAAUCCUACGGGAGGCAGCAGUGGGGAAUAUUGGACAAUGGGCGCAAGCAUGAUCCAGCCAUACCGCGUGGGUGAAGAAGGCCUUCGGGUUGUAAAGCACUUUUGUUGGGAAAGAAAAGCAGCAGGUUAAUACCCCGCUGUUCUGACGGUACCCAAAGAAUAAGCACCGGCUAACUUCGUG
Molecule: ribosomal RNA, 492 nt
Filed under: uncultured bacterium
Lineage: Bacteria
Description: partial 16S ribosomal RNA
Rfam family: Bacterial small subunit ribosomal RNA
Source: RNAcentral